CGUGGAGACAGGUGGUACAUGGCUGUCGUCAGCUCGUGUCGUGAGAUGUUGGGUUAAGUCCCGCAACGAGCGCAACCCUCACCUCUUGUUGCCAUCAGGUCAUGCUGGGCACUCUAGAGGAACUGCCCCGGUCAACGGGGAGGAAGGCGGGGAUGACGUCAAGUCAUCAUGCCCCUUACGUCCUGGGCUACACACGUGCUACAAUGGCCGGUACAAAGGGAUGCCACACCGCGAGGUAGAGCUAAACCCAAAAAGCCGGUCUAAGUUCAGAUUGGAGUCUGCAACUCGACUCCAUGAAGGAGGAAUCGCUAGUAAUCGCGUAUCAGCACGACGCGGUGAAUACGUUCCCGGGCCUUGUACACACCGCCCGUCACACCACGAAAGCCUGCUGUACUCGAAGUCGCUGAG
RNAcentral lists this ribosomal RNA (408 nucleotides) under uncultured Methylomirabilota bacterium. RNAcentral describes it as "bacterial SSU rRNA". It matches the Rfam family "Bacterial small subunit ribosomal RNA", at positions 1027 to 1434 of the family's 1533-position model. Lineage: Bacteria; Methylomirabilota (SeqCode). The record is from RNAcentral.